UAUCAGCCUAAUAGCUAAUGUCAGCAUAA
RNAcentral lists this non-coding RNA (29 nucleotides) under Homo sapiens (human). The record is from RNAcentral. Lineage: Eukaryota; Metazoa; Chordata; Mammalia; Primates; Hominidae.